Molecule: long non-coding RNA, 2512 nt
Organism: Papaver somniferum (opium poppy)
Lineage: Eukaryota; Viridiplantae; Streptophyta; Magnoliopsida; Ranunculales; Papaveraceae
Exons: 4
Source: RefSeq, a predicted model, not a curated record
GACAUGAGCAGUUAGGGAAGUCCAGUCAUUUUUCUCUGCAACUUAUAAUGGAAAGCACCUCCUUUUUCUUUCAAGUUCCACUGAAAUUUUCCCCCUCUUCUUCUGCAAAAGAAAUUUUAUUUUCUUCUAAAAAAAUGAAAUUCAAGCAUAAUCCACCAUCCGCUUCCGGCUGAAUUUGUAUUCUGCAAAGGUAGGAGUUCCUUUUUUCUCAAUUUUGUUGUUGUUCAUGUUUACAAAUUUGAAUUUUCUGAUCCAGCACUACACUUGCAUGAUUAUUUCCUUUCAUUUAAAUCAAUGAUUUGAUCAUUUGGGGUGUUUUCGUAAUCGUGGUUUGAUAGAUUUUUGCUCAUAAAUAUCCUGCCAAUUACACAUGCUUCCAAUGAUUUUUGCACCACAAUAUCUUUUGGUUUAAAACCUUAUACUUUCUUUUGUCUACUCCUUGCAUGUCUAGUUCCGGAAAAAUUUCAAAUGUUAUGAAUGAUUGUUUGAGAUGUUUUAAUAACUAUGAACUAAAAAUAAAAAUCUUUUCAUAAGAUUUCAUCAAAUGGGUCCUGUUUUUGACCACCUUGUAGAACAACAAACUUGGUUUCAAAUCUUUUAUGCUUUUUGUGCUCAAAUCUUCGCUUGUCGACUUGCGUAUGCUUUUCAAUGUUAAAAAUGAUUCUAUGAAGAUUGAAAAUGCUUUGCAGCUAUCCAAGAUUUUGAUUUCCAUCAAAAAAUAAAGUUCUGUAUUGAAAUUAAACUAGCCUAUUAACUGUUUGUAAAAAUGACUCAACGAGUCUAUUUAGUUUUGUUUAAGUCUUACUACUUUGAGGCGUCAGUUGAAUUUGGGUUGCUGCACACCCAUUUCGUUUUCUUUGGACAUGGUAAUUAGUUCUUUUAUGUACUUCUCUUUGAAAAACGGCAGUUGCAUACUUGAACUCCAUUUCCACUGGGUUGUUUCAUAAACUUAAAACUACUUUGUCACCUGUGCUGCUUGGUGGUUAACCUUAUAUUUUUAUUCUUUUGUAUUUCUAGUUGUCCCUUCUAAGCAUUACCCCUACAGCUCUCUUGAUGAAAUUUAAUUAUGUUUAUGAGAAUUUGCUUCCAUUCGAUUACCGGAAUGUCUAGCUGAGUACUUCCCAUUUCUAUCUGUUCCAUGAACUGAUGCCAUAUUUUCACUGUAUGAAACAUCAGACUUGUUUGUAUAAACCCGGUGAUCUUUUGAAAUUUUAGGAAGAAGCCAACCCAACGAUUUUCCUUAGCUGAUUCUUUAUGCUCCGUGUUUGCGAAAUGUUGACUAAAUGAAAUAAAUAUACUUCUUCGUCAUCUAAACUCUCAUGCAUAUUUUAUGAUUAUGCUUUACAUUUCUGCUUGCACUCAAUCAAUCACUCGUUUAUGUGUCUUGGCAAGAUUUUAUGGAAUGAUUCAUUUUAUACAGUCAUUUGGAUUAUUUUCGUUUCUGAAUUGCGUUUUCUCUAUAAUGCAUAUUGCGAGUGUUUUCUCCUUGUGAACAAGCCUAGAUAGGGAACUAGAUGACUCUAUUAUAUGAAUGUGAGGCCAUAAUUGCCCCACAAUUACGAGUGGCAACCCGGAAGACCGUUAGCUGUAACGGUGGCUAGUAACCAGAACAACCCUGACAUCAGCGCUGGACCGCUGGCCAAAGGAAUAGUAGAGCACCUAAACUUGAUUUACAACUAUUUGUUUCAUUAUGAAUUUCAGUUGCGAAGUGCUUUUCGUUCUGGUACAUCGUUUUAGUUGCUGCUAGAGCUGGCAAUCCGAGCCAAAACCCGCGGGUUGGCCCGUCCCGUCCCGUGAAAACUCGUGCCCGUCCCGGAUCGUAACUACACAAGACGGGCGCGGGUUGUAUAAUUAGUGGCUUGUGAAGAAACGGGUUAACCCGUCCCGUCCCGUGCACCCCGCGGGUAUCCCGGCUCGGUCCGCACCCACUGCCACUUAGGCUGCUGCGUGUCACACAAUGACACAGUUAUCUGUUACGUGUCAUGUAACAUGUUCGUUCCUCUUCAUAUAAAAGGAAAAAACCCUAGCUCGCCUUCCUCUUCUUUCUUCCUCUUUUUUUCUUCUUCCCUGACCCUGCUGCAGCGCUGCUGAGUCUCCUACUCUCCUGAGUAAACUUCACAGAUUCACAGAAGUGACAGAAAAAUUAUUAGAUUCAUCUAAAGAUCAAAGACAGUCUUGAAGAGAAAUACAAGAGCGGAUUGAUUUUCUGGGCUCGUGAAGAUCGGAGGAAUACAACAACGAAUUGAUUUUCUGGGUUCGUGAAGAGUGAAUUGAUUUUCUGUUCGAUUAAUAAUAUAUUGGAGUUCUAGUGAAAUCUUUAAAUUUUGGUUUGAGCAGUUUGGAUAAGUGGUUGUCCCCUAAAUCUGAUGUCAAGUGUACAAGAGCAAGAGUUACCAGAACCAGACCAUUUCAAGGAUGUUAUGAGUGCUGAUGAUGAAGAUGAUGAUGUUGAGAUGUUAUGAAUGUAUGAUACUAUGAUAGUAUCUGUGUGACUGUGUCUGUGUUUCUUUAA